Triticum aestivum (bread wheat) is the source of this 115-nucleotide non-coding RNA. Lineage: Eukaryota; Viridiplantae; Streptophyta; Magnoliopsida; Poales; Poaceae. The record is from Rfam.
GAAGUACUCCCUCCGUUCCGAAUUACUCGUUGCAGAAAUGGAUGUAUCUAGAUGUAUUUUAGUUCUAGAUACAUUCAUGUCCGCGACGAGUAAUUUGGAACAGAGGGAGUACUAG